RNAcentral lists this ribosomal RNA (754 nucleotides) under uncultured archaeon. RNAcentral's name for it is "bacterial SSU rRNA". It matches the Rfam family "Archaeal small subunit ribosomal RNA", at positions 117 to 872 of the family's 1478-position model. The record is from RNAcentral.
UGGACGGGAAUAACCUCGGGAAACUGAGUAUAAUUCCCGAUAGAACAUUAUGCCUGGAAUGGUUUAUGUUCCAAAUGAUUUAUCGCCGUAGGAUGGGACUGCGGCCUAUCAGUUUGUUGGUGAGGUAAUGGCCCACCAAGACUAUUACAGGUACGGGCUCUGAGAGGAGUAGCCCGGAGAUGGGUACUGAGACACGGACCCAGGCCCUAUGGGGCGCAGCAGGCGAGAAAACUUUGCAAUGUGCGAAAGCACGACAAGGUUAAUCCGAGUGGUUUCUGCUAAAGGAACCUUUUGUUAGUCCUAGAAACACUAACGAAUAAGGGGUGGGCAAGUUCUGGUGUCAGCCGCCGCGGUAAAACCAGCACCUCAAGUGGUCAGGAUGAUUAUUGGGCCUAAAGCAUCCGUAGCCGGCUCUGUAAGUUUUCGGUUAAAUCUGUACGCUCAACGUACAGGCAGCCGGGAAUACUGCAGAGCUAGGGAGUGGGAGAGGUAGACGGUACUCGGGAGGAAGGGGUAAAAUCCUUUGAUCUCUCGAUGACCACCUGUGGCGAAGGCGGUCUACCAGAACACGUCCGACGGUGAGGGAUGAAAGCUGGGGGAGCAAACCGGAUUAGAUACCCGGGUAGUCCCAGCUGUAAACUAUGCAAACUCAGUGAUGCAUUGACUUGUGGUCAAUGCAGUGCUGCAGGGAAGCCGUUAAGUUUGCCGCCUGGGAAGUACGUACGCAAGUAUGAAACUUAAAGGAAUUGGCGGG